RNAcentral lists this antisense RNA (195 nucleotides) under Shimwellia blattae DSM 4481 = NBRC 105725. Its description in RNAcentral is "Escherichia blattae DSM 4481 Yersinia sRNA 276". It matches the Rfam family "Yersinia sRNA 276". The record is from Rfam by way of RNAcentral. Lineage: Bacteria; Pseudomonadati; Pseudomonadota; Gammaproteobacteria; Enterobacterales; Enterobacteriaceae.
GACCGACAUCAGGGAUUCGUUACGCGAGCCGGCACCCACCGCCAGAUAGGCAUGCAUACCGAGAUCUUUCAUCUGCUGCUCGCCUAUGACCCGGGUGGCCAGGCUGGUGCUGUAGGCAUCCGCCAGCUGGCGGGCCUGGGAGGCCAGAUACGCCGCGUUACAGAUAUUGGGCGGCAUAUUGCCGAGGUCUUUGGU